GGUUAAGCGACUAAGCGUACACGGUGGAUGCCCUGGCAGUCAGAGGCGAUGAAGGACGUGCUAAUCUGCGAAAAGCGCCGGCGAGGUGAUAUGAACCCUUGACCCGGCGAUGUCCGAAUGGGGAAACCCAGUGCAAUCCGUUGCACUAUCGUUAACUGAAUACAUAGGUUAACGAGGCGAACCGGGGGAACUGAAACAUCUAAGUACCCCGAGGAAAAGAAAUCAACCGAGAUUCCCCCAGUAGCGGCGAGCGAACGGGGAGYAGCCCGGAGUCUGAAUCAGCUUGUGUGUUAGUGGAACGGUCUGGAAAGUCCGACGGUACAGGGUGAUAGUCCCGUACACGAAAGCACACWUGCUGUGAACUCGAAGAGUAGGGCGGGACACGUGGUAUCCUGUCUGAAUAUGGGGGGACCAUCCUCCAAGGCUAAAUACUCCUGACUGACCGAUAGUGAACCAGUACCGUGAGGGAAAGGCGAAAAGAACCCCGGCGAGGGGAGUGAAAAAGAACCUGAAACCGUGUACGUACAAGCAGUGGGAGCCUCUUUAUGGGGUGACUGCGUACCUUUUGUAUAAUGGGUCAGCGACUUAUAUUCUGUAGCAAGGUUAACCGUAUAGGGG
This 618-nucleotide ribosomal RNA is filed under the name Enterobacter hormaechei. RNAcentral describes it as "partial 23S ribosomal RNA". The record is from RNAcentral. Lineage: Bacteria; Pseudomonadati; Pseudomonadota; Gammaproteobacteria; Enterobacterales; Enterobacteriaceae.